GCCAAUGUUCUGUAGUGAUUUGCAUGUUGGACUAAAACUCUGGAGAUCAGGGUUCGAAUCCCUGGUCUGCCA
Molecule: non-coding RNA, 72 nt
Organism: Phrynosoma platyrhinos (Desert horned lizard)
Lineage: Eukaryota; Metazoa; Chordata; Lepidosauria; Squamata; Phrynosomatidae
Source: the annotation of a GenBank genome assembly